CAGCAGCCGCGGUAAAACAGAGGGUGCGAGCGUUAAUCGGAUUUACUGGGCGUAAAGCGUGCGUAGGCGGCUUUUUAAGUCGGAUGUGAAAUCCCUGAGCUUAACUUAGGAAUUGCAUUCGAUACUGGGAAGCUAGAGUAUGGGAGAGGAUGGUAGAAUUCCAGGUGUAGCGGUGAAAUGCGUAGAGAUCUGGAGGAAUACCGAUGGCGAAGGCAGCCAUCUGGCCUAAUACUGACGCUGAGGUACGAAAGCAUGGGGAGCAAACAGGAUUAGAGACCCCCGUAGUCCCUGUCUCUUAUAA
Molecule: ribosomal RNA, 301 nt
Filed under: uncultured bacterium
Lineage: Bacteria
Description: partial 16S ribosomal RNA
Rfam family: Bacterial small subunit ribosomal RNA
Source: RNAcentral